ACUGUUGACCCGGGGCGGGGGCAGAUGCCUCUUUAUCAUGGGCGCAGACUGGGCAGCACGUUUAGCAGCGUCCUUGGCCUCUGCCCACCGGAUUUCAGAAGUACCCAUCCCCCAGUGAUGGAAAUCAGCGCAUCUCCAGAUGUGGUCAACGUCUCUGAUGACAAAAUCGACCCUGGGUGGGAAUGAUCCUCUCUGUGUCUGGGAUUUGGAUGUGGAUAAGUUGUGUUCUUAACACCUCUAUGUGUGACAUUGAGUCUAGAGAGGCUGGCGGGAGGGCAAGGAAGGAGACGGGGCAGGUGACAUCUUGGUGGCUGGUCAUUCUCAGAAAUCAACACAAGUGGCCGGGCGCAGUGGCACACGCCUGUAACCCCAGAGGCUCAUGAGGCUGAGGCAGGAGGAUCGCGAGUUCAAAGCCAGCCUCAACAAUGGUGAGGGCUAAGCUACUCAGGGAGACCCUGUCUCUAAAUAAAAUACAAAAUAGGGCUGGGAUGUGGCUCAGAGGUUGAGUGCCCCUGAGUUCAGUCCCUGGUACCCACCCACAAAAAAAAAAAAAAACCAACACAAGUGCCUCUCCAGUGAGCACACGAGGCCAAGCGCCUCUCCAGUGAGCACACGCGGCCAAGCGCCUCUCCAGUGAGCACACGCGGCCAAGCACUCUCCAGUGAGCACACACGGCAUGCUCCAACACGCUGAGCAGAAUGACAACUCUGUUUUUUUGUUGUGAUUCAGGAGCUCUGUUUGCUCAGUGAGGACUCUAAAGACCCCUGUCCCCUGUGCCUUUGGGGAAUGUUGUCCCUGGCUCUCCAAAGUUAUUUUAAAAUAUAAAGACAUGACACAUAAGCAGUUCCCACCAAGAUCUGUUUGAUUUUAAGGAAGGUUCAUGAUUACCAAGGAAAAUAACCCACAGAAUCAGGGAACUAGACAGAUUUCAGUUCUCUUUGAUCCGAGCACAACAUCACAAAUUCUGAAAUUAACUCUUCCAUCUACAACAGCUCCACUUCCUCUUAUUUCUAUUCCUUAUUCACAUGAAUUGAAUUGCAUAAGCUCUGCUGGCAAUCACUGAAGGGCAGUUUCUGCUAAAUUGUGACCCACAUAAUCCGGAACGCCCUUGGGGACAAGGAGGGGACAUUGGCUGAUUCCUGGGUGCUUGUUUGGAUAGCAGCUCGACUGCGUGGACCUGGACUAGCUAACCCACUCACCCCUUUAUUCCAGGGUUCAGCUGGCAGUUAGGCCUGGGUCACCCCUCACUGGGGAGGGUUCCUCGCACUGUAGGACAUUUAGCACCAUCCUGGCCCUCGUCCAGUAGCGCCAGUAGACACUCCCCAGGUGACAGCAGGAGCACCUCCAGGCGCUGCAGGGCUUCCCGGCCACACCCUCUUCAGAACUGCUGCUGCCUUCUCUUCUCAUUCAUUUAUUUCCAUUAAAUCAGCAGAAAUUUCAUGCCCUCUGUGUGCCAGGCACCGACCGCGAAGGGGACACAGCGCAGCAGGCGGCGGGGUCUCUGCCCUCGUGGAGCGGACGUUUCAACCUGUUCCUCUGGAUCUGGAGCGUCCUUUUAUUCUAGAAAGCAGGAAUACUUUUAAAAUGUCACAGGCUGUUCUAGGAGGACACGGAAGCCGGUUUAGGGGACUCCCACAGGACAGGUUGUGGCAGGGACUGAAUGUGCGCCGAUGACUGCACUCAGUUUUCCACCAACAAUGGCCUUGUGCCCAAGACCUCGAGCAUCCUCCGGUGUGCGGCUUGGUGAUGGCUCUUGGGAGGUGGGGGCGUGGGGACAAACUCCAUGCUAACUAUUUGCACCCUUGAGCAGGUGCACCCCGACUCCAGAAUACUGAAGUGUGAGGAAGGACAGGAUGUCUCCGUCUUGCAGACGGGGAAACGGGAGCUCCCAGGACCAGGACCCAAGUUGAUAUUUGGUGUCUUCAGAACCUGCCAGAUUCUGGAAGAAUCUAAUAAUGCUUCAGGUGAAAAGGCACAUGAGUGGGUGAAUUCUGCUUCCUGUUUGCAGUGCAGAAAACUAAAAAAUCACCCCCACUCAGAGGAGGUGGAAGCAAGGACCAGCUUCUACCUCCCUGAGGUGCCGCCUGCCCUCAGGGCCUCGCUGCUGCUGACCCCCGCUGCGGCUUCUGAAGGUCAGUCCCGGGCCCUCUGCUCUGUUGUCUUUCCUGAGUCCCCUGUUUUAAGAGGUGGGGGACGGCAGCUGCCCCCAGGGUCUCCUCCCCUUGCCCUGAGCGCUCUGCCUGUCCAAACCACCCAACAAACACAGCGUGCACAUACAGGGUCCCAGCCCUUCCACGUGAGUGUCCACAGAGCUAAUGCUGGGUGACGGACGGGCCCCUGAGCCGCUGCGGGUGACCAGCGCUGUCCUCUCACUUGGGGCCUCAAGGUCGGGAAUUGAAGAAGCUUAGCUGGGGGCUGUGGCUCGGGUCUCAGGGGGUCGCAGUUAGGGGCUCUCCGCUGGGUUGGGGGGAGCUGUUCCAAGAUGGCAUCAUCCAAAGGCUCCGCGGUUGGCUGGAGGCCUCAGUUCCGGCCGGAUGGGCCUCUCCACGAGGCUGCUCACAGCAUGGCAGCUGGACUCCACCCAGGCGCACAAGGGACAGAGCCACAGAGAGAGACUGAGAAAGAAGCUGCCGUGAUGACCCGCCUCCCUGCAUGUCUCUUCUGCUGUCCCUGUCAGCCAUUCUCAACGCCUGUCUUUGGUUCUUUGGGCCCGUGUCUUUGGAAAACUCUGAGCUGUGGCUAAUAGAUAGGUUCAGAGGUCCAGCGGGGUCAGGGAGUGCCUGGAAGCCCCGACCUGGCCUGUGCCCGGGGGGACCCGCAGUGCCGCGUCUUCUGCAGCCUGCGCUGGAGGCGGGGACCCACCCUCGGGGCCCAGCCUGGGCUGAGCCCCCAGAGCCGGCUGCGCUGACCCUGGGCAUUCUGAUGCCGAGCAGACCUGCCCCGGCCGUCGGGAUGUCUCUUUAAAAAGAAAUAAAGAACAGAAACAAGAGGGGAAAACUGUGGGCACCAGAGGGAAGUCUGCUCUUUCAGUCACUUCCACACACAGACCUGUGCUGUGUGACCUUUGAACAGAAACAGCACACAGCCCUCGGCUCCUCCUGGACGUCCUGACAGCCCGGAACCCGCCCUUGUGGGCACAGGCAGGGAGCAGGGCACGGCUGGGCGGCGGGAGGAGAAGCAGACCCGCCAGGUGACUGGGUCCCCUCCUUGCAGCAGACAAAGCACCUGAGCGUGAGUGGGCGUCUGCGCCCGAGAAAUGAAUAGCAGCCGGGGCCCAUUUUUACCAGCGGGGAAACAUGGGUCUAAGAAAAGACUUCCAGGAAGGGCAUCAGCUGCCGUGUCUGCCUUCCCUUCUCAAAAGCCUCCACAACUGAGUCCAACAGCGAGUCGAGUGGCCUCGGCCACACCACAGGUGACCGCACGUGACCGCGGGUUGGGCAUGGCCUGGGUAUUUUAUCUCCCAAGAGGGUCAGACAGACAUAGGUGGCAAAUGUCACCCUCCCAUUUCACAGAGGGGUGACCCGAGGCGUAAAGAGCUUCCUACCCUGUGUGGGGCUGAGGCCAGCAGCAGUGGAGCGGGCACUGGACCCACCUCAGGAACCUCAGCGCACCAGCUGCCCAGGACGGGGGGGUGGGUAUUUGUGCCCCAUGGGGGGGUCUUUUCUCUCUCUCUCUUUCCUUUUUGCAGAGGAACUGUGAGCCCAGAAGAAAGGGAAUUUUCCUCAUUUAUCUCGUUGUCAUGACCAGUUGCUCAAUUGGGGAUUUUUAGGUCUGAAUUUUUUGUUUUCCACCACUUAUGGGCCACCGAGGCACCAGGAUACCUGCCCCUACCCCCGGGGGCUUGGUCUGCUCCUUGCCUCAAGGCAAAGCCAAGGCCACUUCUGAUUCUUUCUCUUUUUAUUUUUUUAGUUCAAAUUUACAUAAAAGUACAGAGAACAGAGCCUGACGUUCCACUGCCCAGGCUGGGUCAUUAUCAGGGGGUGACGCCUCUCACCCCAUUCCGUCCCCCGCCCCUGCUUCUCCAUCAUUCCAGACCCCACCCGCCUCUCAGCCGCCGCUCUUACCAGCAGAGUAGACUGGAAGGGACGAUGACGCAUGUGUCCCUGAGACUCGUGCCACACUGAACGGCAGAGUGCUCCCGAGGGCCUCGAGGGGACGGAACUGAAAACAGAGUGAGGAGUUCAAGAUGGAGAAAAUCCAGAGUGCAGUUUUCCAAGUGAUUAAAAAAUAAAGGACAACUCUAAACGCUAUCUGUGAGGUCAUCGCCACUGAAAUCAGGAUGACCCAGCCCCAGAUCAAAUCUGCUGUAGAAGCUGCUGGAAGACAGUGUCCGAGCCUCCGCGUGAACGUCCCUGGGGCUUUCCCCAAGGUUUCAGUUCAUUGGAAUAAAUGCUGACGUGCCCCGACCCGG
This 4411-nucleotide long non-coding RNA is filed under the name Marmota monax (woodchuck). Lineage: Eukaryota; Metazoa; Chordata; Mammalia; Rodentia; Sciuridae. The record is from RNAcentral.